AACGAACGCUGGCGGCAUGCCUAACACAUGCAAGUCGAACGAUGCCUUCGGGCAUAGUGGCGCACGGGUGCGUAACGCGUGGGAAUCUGCCUUUCGGUUCGGAAUAACUCAGGGAAACUUGAGCUAAUACCGGAUAACGUCGCAAGACCAAAGAUUUAUCACCGAAAGAUGAGCCCGCGUAGGAUUAGCUAGUUGGUGAGGUAAAGGCUCACCAAGGCGACGAUCCUUAGCUGGUCUGAGAGGAUGAUCAGCCACACUGGGACUGAGACACGGCCCAGACUCCUACGGGAGGCAGCAGUGGGAAUAUUGGACAAUGGGCGAAAGCCUGAUCCAGCAAUGCCGCGUGAGUGAUGAAGGCCUUAGGGUUGUAAAGCUCUUUUACCCGGGAAGAUAAUGACGGUACCGGGAGAAUAAGCCCCGGCUAACUCCGUG
Molecule: ribosomal RNA, 432 nt
Filed under: uncultured bacterium
Lineage: Bacteria
Description: partial 16S ribosomal RNA
Rfam family: Bacterial small subunit ribosomal RNA
Source: RNAcentral